AUGGAGCCGGAGAGACCGGGAAUCCAGGGGCAAAGCUACUCUUUUCCUUUUCAAAAACCUCGCCCUUCCCUUCCCCUCCCCUGGUUCAUCUCCCCCUGUCCCCUUGCCGCGCCGCGCGACUCUCGUCAAUCAUCGAUGGUUCUCAUGGCGGCCGCCUCCGACGACCAUCACCACCGCCGCCGCCAUCGUGCGGCGAAACGCUCGCUGACUCCGCCCCAGCCCGAGUCCCCGUCCCCGGCCCCAGCCCCACUCGAUUGCUUCUCCUUCACCUGGGGCGUGCGACGUCGCCUCCGCUGCUCCAAGGACGGCGCCCCCGUCACCGCCACCGCGUUGCCGUCUCCUCCCCAGCAGCCGGUCACCCCGUCGCCGGACAAGGAGAAGACGCCCCAGGGCGACGCCGCCGGCUCCUCCUCCCGGCCGCAGCGGUCCCGGUACCUCCGCCCGCUUCGCUACACCGCGACGAAUCCCGCGUCCAGAUCAACGGACGCCGGCGCGGGGCAGGCGCUCCACUCGCCCGCCUCCGCGCCUCCGGCGCCGCCGACGGAGCCGCAGCAGCCUAGGAAGAGGGGAUUCGCCGUCGCCCUCACCAAACAGGAGAUCGCCCGGGACUUCGCCGCCGUCCGCUGCAAGCGCCCGCCGCGCCGCGGCAAGAAGCGGUCCAAAGCCCAGCAGGCCAAGAUCGACGCGCUGUGCCCGGGAUUCUUCCUCUCGACGGUGGACCUGGACAACUACAAGAUCGAUGAUAACAAUAAUAGGUGA
This 759-nucleotide ribosomal RNA is filed under the name Triticum aestivum (bread wheat). Its description in RNAcentral is "partial small subunit ribosomal RNA". The record is from RNAcentral. Lineage: Eukaryota; Viridiplantae; Streptophyta; Magnoliopsida; Poales; Poaceae.